Molecule: ribosomal RNA, 425 nt
Filed under: Candidatus Regiella insecticola
Lineage: Bacteria; Pseudomonadati; Pseudomonadota; Gammaproteobacteria; Enterobacterales; Enterobacteriaceae
Description: bacterial SSU rRNA
Rfam family: Bacterial small subunit ribosomal RNA
Source: RNAcentral
AAUACCGCAUGAUGUCGCAAGACCAAAGUGGGGGACCUUARGGCCUCACGCCAUGAGAUGAACCCAGAUGAGAUUAGCUAGUAGGUGCGGUAAUGGCGUACCUAGGCGACGAUCUCUAGCUGGUCUGAGAGGAUGACCAGCCACACUGGAACUGAGAGACGGUCCAGACUCCUACGGGAGGCAGCAGUGGGGAAUAUUGCACAAUGGGCGGAAGCCUGAUGCAGCCAUGCCGCGUGUGUGAAGAAGGCCUUAGGGUUGUAAAGCACUUUCAGCGGGGAGGAAGGCGGUAAGAGUAAUAUGCUUAUCRAUUGACGUUACCCGCAAAAGAAGCACCGGCUAACUCCGUGCCAGCAGCCGCGGUAAUACGGAGGGUGCGAGCGUUAAUCGGAAUAACUGGGCNUAAAGRGCAUNUAGGCGGUAAGUUA